GUGCCAGCAGCGGCGGUAAUACGGAGGGGGUUAGCGUUGUUCGGAAUUACUGGGCGUAAAGCGCGCGUAGGCGGAUAUUUAAGUCAGAGGUGAAAUCCCGGGGCUCAACCCCGGAACUGCCUUUGAUACUGGAUGUCUUGAGUUCGAGAGAGGUGAGUGGAAUUCCGAGUGUAGAGGUGAAAUUCGUAGAUAUUCGGAGGAACACCAGUGGCGAAGGCGGCUCACUGGCUCGAUACUGACGCUGAGGUGCGAAAGUGUGGGAGCAAACAGGAUUAGAUACCCUGGUAGUCCACACCGUAAACGAUGAAUGCCAGUCGUCGGGUAGUAUACUGCUCGGUGACACACCUAACGGAUUAAGCAUUCCGCCGUGGGAGUACGGUCGCAAGA
RNAcentral lists this ribosomal RNA (387 nucleotides) under uncultured bacterium. RNAcentral's name for it is "bacterial SSU rRNA". It matches the Rfam family "Bacterial small subunit ribosomal RNA", at positions 505 to 893 of the family's 1533-position model. The record is from RNAcentral.